This is a long non-coding RNA of Cebus imitator (Panamanian white-faced capuchin), 1192 nucleotides long. RefSeq lists it as uncharacterized. Lineage: Eukaryota; Metazoa; Chordata; Mammalia; Primates; Cebidae. The record is from RefSeq and is a predicted model, not a curated record. The transcript is spliced from 3 exons.
UGGGAUUACAGCCUGAGCCACACGGCCAACGUUUUCAAUAGAAACAUUAGUAAGUUCAUUUAACAAUACAUUCAUAAUAAUAAUACAUAAUAAAACACACAGAAUUAUUGGCAGUCUUAAUUGUGCCUAAAUGUUUCUAAUAACUGUUGAGGUGGGGAGGGGGUGGACAGUUCAUUAAUAAGGUUGGAAAUGUUAUUGGAGUACCUUGGUUUUCAUUUAGUCUAGUUAGUAGGCAAGUCAGCUAACUUCACAGAGGCUAAAUUUUCUCAUCUCAAAAAUUUUAAUAAAAUAUCUGAUAUUCCUUCUACCCACAUUCGUGGGAACCAGAUUAUAUUUGAAAAAAUUUUCACUAACUCUAAAAAACAGUCGUCACUAUAAUUAUUGCAUUGGUAGUCAUUUGUAGCUAAAUUAUGACAGAAAGGAACAUAAUGAGCAUUUGAGAAUUAGAAAUUUGUGUUCAUAAGUGAUAUAAUUUUCAUAUCUAUUUAAAAUUACAACUCUCUUAACAAUCCUAUAUGCUGUUUAUUCUUAAAUGUUCCAAAUAUUUUGAAAUAUGCUUUCUACGUUGAUAUUUUAUUUGAUUAAUCAGUUACACAUUUUUACAUAUUUGAGAUUAACCUGCUUAUGAUUUAUAUGUUUAUCUGUAAAUAGCUAAUGCAGCCAUAUUUUUACUCUUGUUUACUUUUUCCUUUGUUUGCUCCCGAAUGUGUGGCAGCAGAAACACAACUGUAAAGAGCACAGAUAAGCUUUCAAAAUGUUACAUGGCAUUUUACCCAAACAUCUGUCAAGUGAAAGCCCAGGGAUUAAACAAGCUGGAACCACAACAAAGGAAAGCUACGUGCCAAAUUUUCCAAGAUAAUAACUAGACAUUGAAACAUAUUGCUCAGAAUAUGUUGACUUACCUAAUGGAAAGUACCACUGCAGGUGGUUGUCCUAGGAUAGUUACCUAAAAAAAGGUAUAUGUGGAUCUGUGGUAGCUGGAGUUGGUCCUCAUGACUUUUUUCAGUUUCUUCUAACCUAAGGAAGUUUCCACUUAGGAAUAAGGUGAAAAACAUCACCUUUAAAUCUUUACUCCAUGACCCUUCUGGUAUAUGACUUGAAAAUUUCUAAAGUGCAUUUUAUGCCUGGUGUGGUGGCUCACACCUGUAAUCCCAGCACUUUGGAAGCCAGUGGAUCACUUGACAUCAGGAGU